RNAcentral lists this ribosomal RNA (528 nucleotides) under uncultured bacterium. RNAcentral's name for it is "bacterial SSU rRNA". It matches the Rfam family "Bacterial small subunit ribosomal RNA", at positions 777 to 1306 of the family's 1533-position model. The record is from RNAcentral.
AAUAGAUACCCUGGUAGUCCAUGCCGUAAACGUUGGGCACUAGGUGUGGGGCUCAUUCCACGAGUUCCGUGCCGCAGCAAACGCAUUAAGUGCCCCGCCUGGGGAGUACGGCCGCAAGGCUAAAACUCAAAGGAAUUGACGGGGGCCCGCACAAGCGGCGGAGCAUGCGGAUUAAUUCGAUGCAACGCGAAGAACCUUACCAAGGCUUGACAUGCACGGGAAGCCACCAGAGAUGGUGGUCUCUUUGGACACUCGUGCACAGGUGGUGCAUGGUUGUCGUCAGCUCGUGUCGUGAGAUGUUGGGUUAAGUCCCGCAACGAGCGCAACCCUCGUCCCAUGUUGCCAGCGGGUUAUGCCGGGGACUCAUGGGAGACUGCCGGGGUCAACUCGGAGGAAGGUGGGGAUGACGUCAAAUCAUCAUGCCCCUUAUGUCUUGGGCUUCACGCAUGCUACAAUGGCCGGUACAAAGGGCUGCGAUGCCGUAAGGUGAGCGAAUCCCAAAAGCCGGUCCAGUUCGGAUUGGGGUCG